AGCGGCGGACGGGUGAGUAACACGUGGGUAAUCUGCCCUCAAGUGGGGAAUAACACAGAGAAAUCUGUGCUAAUACCGCAUAAUGUAUCUAAGUCGCAUGAUUUGGAUAAAAAAGAUUUAUCGCUUGAGGAUGAGCCCGCGGCCCAUUAGCUAGUUGGUGAGGUAAAGGCCCACCAAGGCAACGAUGGGUAGCCGACCUGAGAGGGUGAUCGGCCACAUUGGAACUGAGACACGGUCCAGACUCCUACGGGAGGCAGCAGUGGGGAAUAUUGCACAAUGGGGGAAACCCUGAUGCAGCAACGCCGCGUGAGUGACGAAGGCCUUCGGGUUGUAAAGCUCUGUCUUCACUGACGAAGAAAUGACGGUAAGUGAGGAGGAAGCCACGGCUAACUACGUGCCAGCAGCCGCGGUAAUACGUAGGUGGCAAGCGUUGUCCGGAAUUAUUGGGCGUAAAGGAUGCGUAGGCGGUCUUUUAAGUGGGAUGUGAAAUACCUGGGCUUAACUCAGGGAUUGCAUUCCAAACUGGGAGACUAGAGUGCAGGAGAGGAAAGUGGAAUUCCCAGUGUAGCGGUGAAAUGCGUAGAGAUUGGGAGGAACACCAGUGGCGAAGGCGACUUACUGGACUGUAACUGACGCUGAGGCAUGAAAGCGUGGGGAGCGAACAGGAUUAGAUACCCUGGUAGUCCACGCU
RNAcentral lists this ribosomal RNA (691 nucleotides) under uncultured bacterium. Its description in RNAcentral is "bacterial SSU rRNA". It matches the Rfam family "Bacterial small subunit ribosomal RNA", at positions 94 to 801 of the family's 1533-position model. The record is from RNAcentral.